Hydra vulgaris (swiftwater hydra) is the source of this 1083-nucleotide long non-coding RNA. RefSeq lists it as uncharacterized. Lineage: Eukaryota; Metazoa; Cnidaria; Hydrozoa; Anthoathecata; Hydridae. The record is from RefSeq and is a predicted model, not a curated record.
AAAGACAGUUACAAAGUUGCUCAAUCUCUCCCAAUGGUAAUCAAAUAAAGUUACAUAAUAGACUAAAACACUUAGGGUUUACAUGGGAUACGGAGCAUCUACGUUUGCCUCACUUGAUCGGGUAAACAUUGCUGAAAAAAUAUCUAAUUUUAGGGCAGCUUUUCAAACUCUUAUUCAAUCUGGAAUCCGUUUUGCUUAUCCAAAAUCCAUCACACAAUUAUAUCAAACCUUGAUAGUACCAACAUUAACUUACAGUCUGGAACUUUGUAAAACCAAUGACGUAACUAUGCAAAACCUAGACAGAAUCGGAAGGAGCGCAUUAUAAUCGUUUUUCAACCUUUUAAAACAUUGCAAAAUUUAUUUACACCCGUUAUUUAAAAUUCAAGACAUAUCAAAAUGUAUUCACCAAAAUAAACUGAACUUAUUUAUUCGUCUUUUGGAUAACAAAUCGGCAAAUGUUAUUAUUCAAUCUCAGCUAAAAAAUCUGACGAAAAAAUAAUCUUUUGUAGAUGAUGUCCAUCUGGUGUGCCAUAUUAGUGGACUAAGUUUUGAAAAAUUAAAGAAUGAAAAAAUAGAAUACGUUUUGCGGUGGCGGGGAAUAAAAUCCCAAAAGAUAUUGAGAAAAAAUUGAAUUACUCAUUAGAUUGGUGGAACAUUUUUGUGUGUACUUUUAUCUUGUAAAAAUACUUACUGUAGGUGGUUAAGAAAAUAAUAAUAUAAAAGAUAGAAGUUUAAAAUGUUCUUAAACAAAAUUUAGCAAGCGCUGUCGACUCCACUGAUCUCUAUAAUAACUAUAAUAAGUUAUUAUAGAGAUCAGCGUAAAAACAUGUAAUUUGGUUACCGAGGAUUGUGGGACGCCCUGGUAUAACAUUUACAAACAAACAAAUAAGUUGUUUUGAAUAUCCAAAUGCUGACAGUAACUGAUUGCUCUUGAUUUAUUUUAUCAUGUACAGCCGAAUAAAAGAAAAAGUUCUUGUUCUGACAAAUUAAAUGAUUUAAACACGAUCGAAGAGCGUGAACGUGAGCGUGACCCUGACAAAACUAUUUUUUAUAGCUCAUCCCUAAUAAAUAUUCGGAAGCAAG